UACGGAGGGUGCGAGCGUUGUCCGGAAUUACUGGGCGUAAAGGGCGCGUAGGCGGCGCGGGUAGUCAUCGGUGAAAGUUCAGGGCUCAACUCUGAAUCGGCCGGUGAUACUCCCGUGCUCGAGCACUGUAGAGGCAGGUGGAAUUCCGGGUGUAGCGGUGGAAUGCGUAGAGAUCCGGAAGAACACCGGUGGCGAAGGCGGCCUGCUGGGCAGUAGCUGACGCUGAUGCGCGACAGCGUGGGGAGCAAACAGG
RNAcentral lists this ribosomal RNA (253 nucleotides) under uncultured bacterium. RNAcentral's name for it is "partial 16S ribosomal RNA". It matches the Rfam family "Bacterial small subunit ribosomal RNA", at positions 524 to 776 of the family's 1533-position model. The record is from RNAcentral.